AAAUUAAGUCAGAUUCUGAGCUAGCUCGUAUCUUGGCUCGGCAAAAUCUCCCAAUGGCGGUUUUUGCAGCCACAGCAGGCUUAGCCUUUUCUCUGAUGAUUAUACAGCUCAGAAAGAAGAACGAAUGAGGCAGCAGCAGAGGAGUACGGGAUUUCUUCAAGGGUGGUUGCCCAUCUCUGCUUUGCCUAUGAUUUCGCCAUUGGUUACUAAAAAACCAACAGCCCUUCGAACAGAGCCAGGGAAAUAUAUGUAUAUAUAUAUAUAUGUACACAAACACACGUAUGCAUAUCAACAUGUGUGUUUGUGUGUGUGUGUUUAACAAUAACAGGGAAGAAGCCCUCGUUGUGAGUUUUCUUU
Molecule: long non-coding RNA, 357 nt
Filed under: Coffea arabica (coffee)
Lineage: Eukaryota; Viridiplantae; Streptophyta; Magnoliopsida; Gentianales; Rubiaceae
Description: long non-coding RNA (CARA_LNC000453)
Source: RNAcentral